CAAGGCGGCGCCGCGCCCGAGUGGUUCCUCGAUACGGGCGCCACUUCCCACGUCGCUGGACCUCGUGACCCGGCGCAUCCUGAUGAGGUCCAAUAGUCACGGCGACCUAUACCCGUUCUUCGGCGACAUCGACGUCCAACACGCACUCUCCAUCGACCACAACCUAUGGCACGUUUGCUUAGGCCAUCCUAGCAAUAAGUCUAAUUCCCUUUUAGCCAAAGAUUUCUUGCCAACUUGUAAUAAUGACACGCCCGUGACGAACAUUCUAUGUUCGGCCUGUCACUUAGGAAAGCAGCCUCGUCUGUCUUUUUCUUCUUCCACAUCUUGUACUACAUCACCUUUUCAAUUAUUACAUUGUGAUCUCUGGACGUC
Triticum dicoccoides is the source of this 372-nucleotide long non-coding RNA. RefSeq lists it as uncharacterized. The record is from RefSeq and is a predicted model, not a curated record. The transcript has 2 exons. Lineage: Eukaryota; Viridiplantae; Streptophyta; Magnoliopsida; Poales; Poaceae.